AUUCACUGUAAGAAUAGAAUAUGCAUCUAGAUAAAAUCUAUCAAGCUUAAUAAAAAGAAGUAGUCCUAUAAGAUUUGAGAGGCUAAGUCUGUAAGUUUAUGGCCACAGCAGUGUGAUUGAUGAAAAUUUUUUUUUAUGAGAAUCAUAAUUGAACUUGAAAUCAAAUCUAUCAUAUAACUGAUGAUGAGAUUUGAUGAUUUAUCCAUGAUCUGCCAUCU
RNAcentral lists this long non-coding RNA (218 nucleotides) under Elaeis guineensis (African oil palm). Its description in RNAcentral is "long non-coding RNA (EGUI_LNC048330)". The record is from RNAcentral. Lineage: Eukaryota; Viridiplantae; Streptophyta; Magnoliopsida; Arecales; Arecaceae.